RNAcentral lists this unclassified non-coding RNA (351 nucleotides) under Homo sapiens (human). Its description in RNAcentral is "novel transcript (ENSG00000280821.1)". Lineage: Eukaryota; Metazoa; Chordata; Mammalia; Primates; Hominidae. The record is from RNAcentral.
GACUGGCCACCUCUCUGGGCCCUCAGGGAUGCUGCUGUCUGGACCCCUGACCAGUGACGAGUUCGCACUCAGGGCCAGGCUGGCGCUGGAGGAGGACACUUGUUUGGCUCCAACCCUAGGAAGAAGAGGGAUCCAGCAGUGAGAUCAGGCAGGUUCUGUGUUGCACAGACAGGGAAACAGGCUCUGUCCACACAAAGUCGGUGGGGCCAGGAUGAGGCCCAGUCUGUUCACACAUGGCUGCUGCCUCUCAGCUCUGCACAGACGUCCUCGCUCCCCUGGGAUGGCAGCUUGGCCUGCUGGUCUUGGGGUUGAGCCAGCCUCCAGCACUGCCUCCCUGCCCUGCUGCCUCCC